This 1488-nucleotide ribosomal RNA is filed under the name Triticum aestivum (bread wheat). RNAcentral's name for it is "partial small subunit ribosomal RNA". Lineage: Eukaryota; Viridiplantae; Streptophyta; Magnoliopsida; Poales; Poaceae. The record is from RNAcentral.
AUGCCAAUUACAGAUACCAGUGUGCCAACUGAUGUGUUAGUUAGCAGUAUGGUCACAGUCAAAACCACCACAGCUGGUCAGGAAGGCACCACUGGAACUGCAAGUCCCAAGGUGCCUACUGAUAGAGAUGCUUCAAUGCCAAACACAAAAGGAGGUGAUCCAACUAUCAAAGUGCCGUCCCCAAGAGUUGUCUUUCAGCAACCAUUAACACAAGAGGAGGUGUUCAACAUUAUAAGUAGGUGCAAGCCUCCAAGGCCGCCAACUACAACACUAUUGCGAACCAAGUCAGCGAAUGAUGCACCCAUGUUUGUGCCGCAAGGAGAUGCCCUGGUCCUUGAACCCUUACGAAGAUCAAACUCUUAUCAUGGUGACGGGUUCUGCGAUGCACCAUCUUUUGACCUCGGCAUAGAUGGUGAUGCUCCAGCACCUGCUCCAACAGUAGAUACAGCGGAAGCCGGUGUGAUUAGCAUCGAUGAGUGUGAGUUAGACCCAGCAGCUGUGAAUGAAGGAUGUGAUGCUGCUGAUGUUGGCAAGGCAAUAGCUCAAGAACUAGAUGUUGGUUCACCAGAGAAUUGCCACACCCCGAUAUGCGCAGAACCAGAACUUGGCACGAGCAGUUCUUGGGGGCCACCUCUUGCACGAAGACAGAGGAGGGUAAGAAGGCCCGCAGCAUCUCAAAGGUCUCCAUUCAUCGAAUACAACAAGAACAAGACUUUCAGCACCAAUGAGGUAGUGAACAAGCUUUACGCUGCCCUCUUGUAUUGGGUCAGGCAUCACAAAGGAGCAAAUGAUGGAGCUACCAGCCCUGAGAUAAUUAAGUAUGGUGCUUUCUACAUUUCUUUAAAGGAGUUAGUUGAUUCGAUGAGGCCGGUUCAAUGGUUGUCAAAAAUUGUUAUUGAGACUAGAAUCUUGCACAUCAUGGAUAACUUACCAGAAGGGUCAAAGAAGGUUGUUAUGCCACUGAGGUUUUCUAUAAAAUUACAGCAAGGGAUCCACAAUGUGAAUGAGAUGAACAAGAUGUUUGAUUACAAGAACCGUCUCGACAAGAAAGACUUAGUCAUGCUGCCAGUGCUCGAGUGCGCAGAUGUAACCGAUAAGGACGGAGGGAGGCAUUAUUGGGUCUUCAGUGUCAACUUGAGGGACGGACGCUUCGAAGUUCUUGAUUCAAGUAGGACGCUGGACAACAUUGAGCUGAUGAACAACGCCUCUACCAUUGCGGGGGCAGUACGCCAGCUAUGGAGGAAGCAUUACCCAAAGUUCAGCAUUGAGCACUUCCAGAUUAUUGAUAUUGACGUACCGAAGCAGCUUGGCAAUAAUGAGUGUGGGUUGUUCGCACUGCUUAACGCCACCGAGUGGAAUGGUAGCCAACUGCCCAACUACGACCCCAAGGAAGUACUCAACAUCAGGAAGAAGCUGACGUAUGAUUGGGUCACCAGCGUGCACAACACCGCCCCAUGGAGGAAGUUGCUGAGAUACGACAAGGAGUAG